UGGACGAAAGUCUGACGGAGCAACGCCGCGUGAGUGAUGAAGGUUUUCGGAUCGUAAAACUCUGUUGUUAGGGAAGAACAAGUACCGUUCGAAUAGGGCGGUACCUUGACGGUACCUAACCAGAAAGCCACGGCUAACUACGUGCCAGCAGCCGCGGUAAUACGUAGGUGGCAAGCGUUGUCCGGAAUCAUUGGGCGUAAAGCGCGCGCAGGUGGUUCCUUAAGUCUGAUGUGAAAGCCCCCGGCUCAACCGGGGAGGGUCAUUGGAAACUGGGGAACUUGAGUGCAGAAGAGGAAAGUGGAAUUCCACGUGUAGCGGUGAAAUGCGUAGAGAUGUGGAGGAACACCAGUGGCGAAGGCGACUUUCUGGUCUGUAACUGACACUGAGGCGCGAAAGCGUGGGGAGCGAACAGGAUUAGAUACCCUGGUAGUCCACGCCGUAAACGAUGAGUGCUAAGUGUUAGGGGGUUCCGCCCCUUAGUGCUGCAGCAAACGCAUUAAGCACUCCGCCUGGGGAGUACG
This 521-nucleotide ribosomal RNA is filed under the name uncultured bacterium. Its description in RNAcentral is "bacterial SSU rRNA". It matches the Rfam family "Bacterial small subunit ribosomal RNA", at positions 372 to 884 of the family's 1533-position model. The record is from RNAcentral.